GUUAGGAGGGCGUGGUGGGCGGGGUAAUUGUGGGCGUCAAGGGGGCAGGGCAUGGAAGCACAGCAGAGGCCUGGGGCACAGGGCCGCAGCGGAGCGGCAUUAGCUGAGGGUAUCAGAUCGCCUGGUAUCACUGCCUGGCCAACAGCAACUCCAGCAUGUUCACUACACUGGAGAUGGGUGCCAUGGUGAGGCGAUUCAUGGCCACCGAGCUGGCCCCAGAGUCAGCGUACAUCUUCAGGCUGAUGAUCAAGAUGAGGCAGGGCUGGGGGAGCCCCUAGAGGCUACCAUCAUCACCACUGAGAAUCGAGAGAUCCAUCGAGGACAUGGUACACAGAGGCAGAGCGACCUGGUGGACACCAGGAGGGGGUGUGCUGUGCAACCGGGGGAGAAAGGGCUAGACCUGCCUGACCAUGGUGGAUGCAAAGGGGGCAACUGAACAGGUGGUGCUUCGAACCUCAGGUGACUUGGCCUCGUUGGCAGCAUCCAGUGCGUCUGGCCUCUGUCUCUUCAGUGCAGAUUCAAGUGCAAAAUAUACAGGAGUGGGACCCCUGUCAUGUCCCUGGGGGACGUAUAUCACAGAAGUAAGUUGUCAUGGUUCUGAACCUCCCGCCAGGGUUGAGGUUCAGGCCGUGAGUUGGUUAACUUUUUUGCCGGCUUCUGUCUUUCUUCCGGAGGGAAAGAUACCCUCUUCUUGUCAAUUAACUUGGAGAUGUACCCUUAACCAGAAAGUCUAGAGUUUGCUGCUUGGGGAAGAUGACUUAGUGGCACAUAUGGAGAAGGUUCUGCAAGUCGCUG
Lutra lutra (Eurasian river otter) is the source of this 795-nucleotide long non-coding RNA. RefSeq lists it as uncharacterized. The record is from RefSeq and is a predicted model, not a curated record. NCBI's taxonomy places the organism in Eukaryota, Metazoa, Chordata, Mammalia, Carnivora, Mustelidae. The transcript has 4 exons.